RNAcentral lists this ribosomal RNA (468 nucleotides) under uncultured bacterium. Its description in RNAcentral is "partial 16S ribosomal RNA". It matches the Rfam family "Bacterial small subunit ribosomal RNA", at positions 28 to 507 of the family's 1533-position model. The record is from RNAcentral.
GACGAACGCCGGCGGCGUGCUUAACACAUGCAAGUCGAACGGAAAGGCCCUGCUUUUGUGGGGUGCUCGAGUGGCGAACGGGUGGGUAACACGUGAGUAACCUGCCCUUGACUUUGGGAUAACUUCAGGAAACUGGGGCUAAUACCGGAUAGGAGCUCCUGCUGCAUGGUGGGGGUUGGAAAGUUUCGGCGGUUGGGGAUGGACUCGCGGCUUAUCAGCUUGUUGGUGGGGUAGUGGCUUACCAAGGCUUUGACGGGUAGCCGGCCUGAGAGGGUGACCGGCCACAUUGGGACUGAGAUACGGCCCAGACUCCUACGGGAGGCAGCAGUGGGGAAUAUUGCACAAUGGGCGGAAGCCUGAUGCAGCAACGCCGCGUGCGGGAUGACGGCCUUCGGGUUGUAAACCGCUUUCGCCUGUGACGAAGCGUGAGUGACGGUAAUGGGUAAAGAAGCACCGGCUAACUACGUG